GCCAAGGGAAUAGUUGGGUAAACUUUUGAGAGACUACAUUUCUCUGUAUUCCAGACUGACCAGAAGCUUAAUUAACAUCGCCACCCACACCUGAUGCUCACACAAGCAGGCCUGACAAGGAGGCUAGACCCGAGCUUGGUGGAAGCAGGUCUGGCAGCUGCAGAUUGGAGAGGACUCUCCUGUUGCCCAUAGGCAAGGUUGAAUAUUCCCUGGAGGAACUCAGGAGGAUCCAUGGGUGAGGUGCAGCUGGUGGAGUCCGGAGGAGGUGUGAAAUACUCGGGGGAAUCUUUACAUCUCUCAUGCCAGACCUCAGGGUUCGACUUUGGCAGCUAUGCUAUGAACUGGUAUCGGGACGCUCCAGGAAAGUCCCGUGAGUUUGUCGCCAGCAUCAUUGACUGGUAUUAUAUAAAGUAUGCAGAUGAAGUGAAGGGACGAUUCACCAUCUCCAGGGACAACGCCAAAAGCCAGCUCUACCUGCAGAUGGACAGUCUGAGAGUGGAGGACACGGCCCGGUAUAUCUGCCACGUUCACAGUGAGGGGACGCAGGGCGGUAGCUUCAACUCCUCCAGAGUCUUGUCUGCUUGACUUCAAACUUCCAGGGAUCCUCUCCAUUCUCUCCUUGUGAACUGGAUCCAUCCAGGUACAGCACAAGUUGUCCCCUUUUCCUCCUCUCCCAGACAGACCAACUCUUUUCCCCUUGUCUCAAGAUGGCCCCUGUUCUCCUUUUUCUUUCCAACAUGCCCUCCUCUCCAUCCCCAGUCCUUCUUUCUGGUUGUUAGGUUAACACUUCAGGGAGAAGUACCAAGGAGUGACAUCCUCCUCCCUCUGGCAUCCUCCUCCUUCUCUUAAGUGUGGUAGCCAAUGGAACUGACUGCCACAAGCACUUUCCAACCUUCCAAUGGGCACUCCCUUAUCUUGGUGUUGUGAAUUUGGAGAACAAAAAUUCCUUGUUGCACUGACCACCCCCUUGAGAAUUUUGGCUUUGGCAUCCACACACUCUCCAAAGAUGAAGGCCAGAAACAACAGCCUUAGCCUGUGUCAUCCUCUUCAAGUUCAGAAGACAACUAUUUACAAACAUAUUUAUUAAUAAAAACCUGUAGUUGAUGCACCUCCACACUACAUACACAAGCCAUGUGUGUGUUAUGUGUCUAUGUAUUCCUUGUGUUACUGUAGAAUGGAAGGGAAUAAAGGAAACUGUAAGAGAAAUGCUACUGAAAAAAUUAAUGGGAGAAACAGUCAAUCCUAGCAAUGAAAAGAAAGGAUUGAGUUAAUUACUGUCAGGUUCAUCUGUCAGGCUCCUUACAUUCAUCAUUAUCAGUUUGGAAUCUUUCUCUUUCUUUUGCUUUAUUAAUGUGUGCAGAGAAUGCAUUUUGUGUCCUUCCGUGUACUUCAUGUAAUUAAUAAAGAAUGAGAUUAUUUUA
Molecule: non-coding RNA, 1421 nt
Organism: Ornithorhynchus anatinus (platypus)
Lineage: Eukaryota; Metazoa; Chordata; Mammalia; Monotremata; Ornithorhynchidae
Source: the annotation of a RefSeq genome assembly